This 489-nucleotide ribosomal RNA is filed under the name uncultured bacterium. RNAcentral's name for it is "partial 16S ribosomal RNA". It matches the Rfam family "Bacterial small subunit ribosomal RNA", at positions 29 to 506 of the family's 1533-position model. The record is from RNAcentral.
AUUGAACGCUGGCGGCAGGCCUAACACAUGCAAGUCGAACGGUAACAGGAAGAAGCUUGCUUCUUUGCUGACGAGUGGCGGACGGGUGAGUAAUGUCUGGGGAACUGCCUGAUGGAGGGGGAUAACUACUGGAAACGGUAGCUAAUACCGCAUAACGUCGCAAGACCAAAGAGGGGGACCUUCGGGCCUCUUGCCAUCGGAUGUGCCCAGAUGGGAUUAGCUAGUAGGUGGGGUAACGGCUCACCUAGGCGACGAUCCCUAGCUGGUCUGAGAGGAUGACCAGCCACAGUGAAACUGAGACACGGCCGAGACUCCUAGGGGAGGCAGCGGGGGGGAAUUUUGCAAAAGGGGGGCAAGCCUGAUGCAGCAAGGCGGGGUGGAGGAAGAAGGCUUUGGGGUUGUAAAGUCCUUGGAGGGGGGGGGAAGGAAGAAAAGUAAAUACCUUGGCUCAUUAACUUUCCCCGAAGAAGAAGCACCGGCAAACCCCGU